This 24-nucleotide small nuclear RNA is filed under the name Arabidopsis thaliana (thale cress). RNAcentral's name for it is "snRNA_17147". The record is from RNAcentral. Lineage: Eukaryota; Viridiplantae; Streptophyta; Magnoliopsida; Brassicales; Brassicaceae.
GCUUAUUUUUUUUCGCGAAACUUU